RNAcentral lists this ribosomal RNA (497 nucleotides) under uncultured bacterium. RNAcentral's name for it is "partial 16S ribosomal RNA". It matches the Rfam family "Bacterial small subunit ribosomal RNA", at positions 28 to 507 of the family's 1533-position model. The record is from RNAcentral.
GAUGAACGCUGGCGGCGUGCCUAAUACAUGCAAGUCGAGCGAACAGACGAGGAGCUUGCUCCUCUGACGUUAGCGGCGGACGGGUGAGUAACACGUGGAUAACCUACCUAUAAGACUGGGAUAACUUCGGGAAACCGGAGCUAAUACCGGAUAAUAUAUUGAACCGCAUGGUUCAAUAGUGAAAGACGGUUUUGCUGUCACUUCUAGAUGGAUCCGCGCCGCAUUAGCUAGUUGGUAAGGUAACGGCUUACCAAGGCAACGAUGCGUAGCCGACCUGAGAGGGUGAUAGGCCACACUGGAGCUGAGACACGGUCCAGACGCCUAAGGGAGGCAGCAGUAGGGAAUCUUAGGCAAUGGGCGAAAGCUUGACGGAGCAACGGCGCGUGAGUGAUGAAGGUCUUCGGAUCGUAAAACUCUGUUAUUAGGGAAGAACAAAUGUGUAAGGAACUAUGCACGUCUUGACGGUACCUAAUCAGAAAGCCACGGCUAACUACGUG